This 253-nucleotide ribosomal RNA is filed under the name uncultured bacterium. RNAcentral's name for it is "partial 16S ribosomal RNA". It matches the Rfam family "Bacterial small subunit ribosomal RNA", at positions 524 to 776 of the family's 1533-position model. The record is from RNAcentral.
UACGUAGGUGGCAAGCGUUGUCCGGAAUUAUUGGGCGUAAAGCGCGCGUAGGUGGUCAUUUAAGUCUGAUGUGAAAGCCCACGGCUCAACCGUGGAGGGUCAUUGGAAACUGGGGGACUUGAGUGCAGGAGAGAAGAGUGGAAUUCCACGUGUAGCGGUGAAAUGCGUAGAGAUGUGGAGGAACACCAGUGGCGAAGGCGACUCUUUGGCCUGUAACUGACACUGAGGCGCGAAAGCGUGGGGAGCAAACAGG